UAGCCUUCUUGUUCUGGUGAAUCAUUUCU
RNAcentral lists this non-coding RNA (29 nucleotides) under Mus musculus (house mouse). The record is from RNAcentral. Lineage: Eukaryota; Metazoa; Chordata; Mammalia; Rodentia; Muridae.